Molecule: small nucleolar RNA, 138 nt
Organism: Ornithorhynchus anatinus (platypus)
Lineage: Eukaryota; Metazoa; Chordata; Mammalia; Monotremata; Ornithorhynchidae
Source: RefSeq, a predicted model, not a curated record
AUUCUCUCAGAGUCGCACCUGGAGAGUUUCUCAUACUCUACCAGCCUCGACUACGAGAGGGAGAGUCAAGCAGAGGCCUACUCAUUCCAUUCCUAGCUUGGCCAGUGGCUAGCGAGCGGAAGGCAAUCUGCUACAAGU